Molecule: small nucleolar RNA, 138 nt
Organism: Ornithorhynchus anatinus (platypus)
Lineage: Eukaryota; Metazoa; Chordata; Mammalia; Monotremata; Ornithorhynchidae
Source: RefSeq, a predicted model, not a curated record
CCCCUCUCAGGAUCGCACCUGGAGAGUUUCCAGUCCUCUACCCGCCUCGGCUACGGGAGGGAGAGUCAAGCAGAGGCCUGUCCAUUCCAUUCCUAGCUUGACCAGUGGCUAGCGAGCGGAAGUCCAUCAGCUACAAGU